This 583-nucleotide long non-coding RNA is filed under the name Nicotiana benthamiana. RNAcentral describes it as "long non-coding RNA (NBEN_LNC015430)". The record is from RNAcentral. Lineage: Eukaryota; Viridiplantae; Streptophyta; Magnoliopsida; Solanales; Solanaceae.
GCCCAAGUUUUCCUGAAGCUUAUCGGAACGUGUAGUUCUAUUGCGUCCUGCCAAAAAUCUGAACGGGAGUCACCGGAAGUACUGUAGCUUGCCUGAAAUCCUUGCCGGAAAAAUAAGGCACCUGUCCAAGAAAACAGAACACACCCACACACCCACAAACAAGUAGAAGAGAGAAUAGAAAGAAAAGAGCAGGGGUUGCCGGAAAAAUCGCCGGCGAAAAAUAAUUAAUGUGAGUUUAAUACCAAAUUGGCUUUAAUUGAGGAGAAACAAACAAAAGUUUGAACUAGGGGUUUUGGGCUUUUUUUUUAGAUCUACAAAUCGGAGAAAACUAGAGGGAAUUGAGGGAAACAGUUAUGGGAUCUGAGGAGAGAGGCGAAUGAGAUUAUCUGGAUAAAAGAUGGGUUGUUUUCCGUUCACUUUCUGGCUGUGUUGAGCGAAAUAGAGGGGCGAAUGAGAUUGUCUAAAGAUGUGCCUAAUCUUCGUGGAAGGAUUUUCUAAUGCUUUUACACUAUCACUUAAGAGAUGGAAGAAGAAAAACAAAAAUUUCAGCAGGCACUAUUUGAAAGAGAGAUAAACAGAAAAU